AUAAUAUUCAACAACAUCAUAAACUGUAGGAUAAUGUGAUAGUG
Molecule: non-coding RNA, 44 nt
Filed under: Trypanosoma lewisi
Lineage: Eukaryota; Euglenozoa; Kinetoplastea; Trypanosomatida; Trypanosomatidae
Source: RNAcentral